RNAcentral lists this ribosomal RNA (1400 nucleotides) under Niallia circulans. RNAcentral's name for it is "bacterial SSU rRNA". It matches the Rfam family "Bacterial small subunit ribosomal RNA", at positions 65 to 1435 of the family's 1533-position model. The record is from RNAcentral. Lineage: Bacteria; Bacillati; Bacillota; Bacilli; Caryophanales; Bacillaceae.
GUCGCACAGGGUUCCGAAGAGCUUUUUCAAAUAGCUUUUUUUUUGUAACCAAGACGCGUCCAACCUGAAAAACAGACUGGUUACUUCGGUAAACCGGAGCUAAUACCGGAUAAUUCUUUCCCUCUAUGGGGAAAAGCUGAAAGACGGCAUCUCGCUGUCACUUACAGAUGGGCCCGCGCCGCAUGAGCUAGUUGGUGAGGUAACGGCUCAGCAAGGCAACGAUGCGUAGCGGACCUGAGAGCCUGAUCGGCCACACUGGGACUGAGACAGGAAAUUUUCUUAUAGGGGCGGCAUCAGUAGGAAUCUUCCGCAAUGGACGAAAGUCUGGACGGAGCACCCCCGCGUGAGUAAUGGAGGUUUUCGAAUCGAAAAGCUUCUGGUGGUAAGGGAAAGAACAAGAACAAGAGUAACUGCUUGUACCUUUGACGGUACCCUAAACCGGAAAAGCCACGGCUAACUACGUGCCCAGCCGGCCGCGGUAAUACGUAGGUGGCAGGCGUUGUCCGGAAUUAUUGGGCGUAAAGCGCGCGCGGGGGGUCCUUUUAAGUUUGAUGUGAAACCCCACGGCCUCAACCGUGGAGGGUCAUUGGAAAACUGGGGGACUUGAGUGCAGAAGGAGAAGGAGUGAAUUCCCACGUGUAGCGUGAAAUUGCGUAGAGAUGUGGAGGAACCACAGGUGGCGAAGGGCGAUUCUUUGGUCUGUUACUGACGCUGAAGGGCGAAAGCGUGGGGAGAAACAGGAUAAGGUACCCUGGUUGUCCCCGCCCUAAACGAUGAAGUCCUAGUGUUAGAGGGUUUUCGGCCUUUUAUGCUGCAGCCAACGCCUUAAACCCUUCCCCUGGGGAAUUCGGCCCCAAGGCUGAAACUCAAAAGAAAAUGACGGGGGGCCGCCCAAGCGGUUGAGCAUGUGGUUUUAUUUGAAGCAACGCGAAGAAACUUUUCAGGUCUUGGCAUUCUCUGGCACCCCUAGAGAUAGGGCGUUUUCCUUCGGGGGACAGAGUGACAGGUGGUGCAUGGUUGUCGUCAGCUCGUGUCGUGAGAUGUUGGGUUAAGUUCCGCCACGAGCGCAACCCUUGAUUUUAGUUGCCCGCCUUAAAUUGGGCCCUCUAAGGGGGCUGCCGGUGGCCAACCGGAGGAAGGUGGGGAUGACGUCAAAUCCUCCUGCCCCUUAUGGCCUGGGCCACACCCCUGCUUCAAUGGAUGGUUCAAAGGGCAGCAAAACCCCGAGGUCGAGCAAAUUCCCUUAAACCCUUCUCAGUUCGGAUUGUAGGCUGCCACUCGCCUUCCUGAAGCUGGAAUCGCUUGUUAACCCCGGUCCACAUGCCGCGGUGAAUUCGGUUCCGGGCCUUGUUCACACCGCCCGUGGCGACGCAAAAAAAGUUUUAUCGAGGUAUCCGUAG